RNAcentral lists this ribosomal RNA (479 nucleotides) under uncultured bacterium. Its description in RNAcentral is "partial 16S ribosomal RNA". It matches the Rfam family "Bacterial small subunit ribosomal RNA", at positions 28 to 523 of the family's 1533-position model. The record is from RNAcentral.
GACGAACGCUGGCGGCGUGCUUAACACAUGCAAGUCGAGCGAUGAAGCACCUUCGGGUGUGAAUUAGCGGCGAACGGGUGAGGAACACGUGAGAAAUCUGCCUUCAACACUGGGAUAACUCCGGGAAACCGGGGCUAAUACCGGAUAUGAAACCUGCGGGCAUCCGCGGGUUUGGAAAGUUUUUCGGUUGAAGAUGAUCUCGCGGCCUAUCAGCUUGUUGGUGAGGUAAUGGCUCACCAAGGCGACGACGGGUAGCCGGCCUGAGAGGGCGACCGGCCACACUGGGACUGAGACACGGCCCAGACUCCUACGGGAGGCAGCAGUGGGGAAUAUUGGGCAAUGGAGGAAACUCUGACCCGGCGACGCCGCGUGCGGGAUGAAGGCCUUCGGGUUGUAAACCGCUUUCAGCAGGGAAGAAGCGAAAGUGACGGUACCUGCAGAAGAAGCACCGGCUAACUACGUGCCAGCAGCCGCCGUAA